UUGAACGCUGGCGGCCUGCUUUACACCUGCAAGUCGCACGGCAGCGCGGGCUUCGGCCUGGCGGCGAGUGGCGAACGGGUGAGUAAUGCAUCGGAACGUGCCCAGUAGUGGGGGAUAGCCCGGCGAAAGCCGGAUUAAUACCGCAUACGACCUGAGGGUGAAAGCGGGGGACCGAAAGGCCUCGCGCUAUUGGAGCGGCCGAUGUCGGAUUAGCUAGUUGGUGGGGUAAAGGCUUACCAAGGCGACGAUCCGUAGCUGGUCUGAGAGGACGACCAGCCACACUGGGACUGAGACACGGCCCAGACUCCUACGGGAGGCAGCAGUGGGGAAUUUUGGACAAUGGGGGCAACCCUGAUCCAGCCAUGCCGCGUGCGGGAAGAAGGCCUUCGGGUUGUAAACCGCUUUUGUUCGGGAAGAAAUCCUCUGGGCUAAUACCCCGGGGGGAUGACGGUACCGGAAGAAUAAGCACCGGCUAACUACGUG
RNAcentral lists this ribosomal RNA (483 nucleotides) under uncultured bacterium. Its description in RNAcentral is "partial 16S ribosomal RNA". It matches the Rfam family "Bacterial small subunit ribosomal RNA", at positions 29 to 507 of the family's 1533-position model. The record is from RNAcentral.